RNAcentral lists this ribosomal RNA (805 nucleotides) under uncultured bacterium. Its description in RNAcentral is "bacterial SSU rRNA". It matches the Rfam family "Bacterial small subunit ribosomal RNA", at positions 8 to 824 of the family's 1533-position model. The record is from RNAcentral.
AGAGUUUGAUCCUGGCUCAGAACGAACGCUGGCGGCAUGCCUAACACAUGCAAGUCGAACGAGACCUUCGGGUCUAGUGGCGCACGGGUGCGUAACGCGUGGGAAUCUGCCCUUGGGUUCGGAAUAACUCGCCGAAAGGCGUGCUAAUACCGGAUGAUGUCGUAAGACCAAAGAUUUAUCGCCCAGGGAUGAAGCCCGCGUAAGAUUAGCUAGUUGGUGAGGUAAAGGCUCACCAAGGCGACGAUCUUUAGCUGGUCUGAGAGGAUGAAGGAUGAUCAGCCACACUGGGACUGAGACACGGCCCAGACUCCCUACGGGAGGGCACCAUGGGGGAAUAUGGGACAAUGGGCGAAAGCCUGAUCCAGCAAUGCCGCGUGAGUGAUGAAGGCCUUAGGGUUGUAAAGCUCCUUUUUCCCCGGGAAUGAUAAUGACAGUACGCGGGGAGAAAUAAGUCUCCGGCUAACUCCGUUGCCCAGCAGCCCGCGGUAAUACGGAGGGGAGCUAGCGUUUGUUUCGGAAUUUACUGGGCGUAAAGCGCACGUAGGCGGCUUUUGUAAGUCAGAGGUGAAAGCCUGGNGCUCANCUCCAGANUGCCUUUGAGACUGCAUCCGCUUGGAAUUCCAGGAGAGGUGAGUGGAAUUUCCGAGUGUAGAGGUGAAUUCGUAGAUAUUCGGAAGAACACCANNGGGCGAAGGCGGCCUCAACNUGGAACUGNNUUUGAACGCUGAAGUGCGAAGCGUGGGGAGCAAACAGGAAUUAGAUACUCUNGNAGUCCCACCGCCGUANNCGAUGAUNNUAGCUUGUC